Molecule: ribosomal RNA, 253 nt
Filed under: uncultured bacterium
Lineage: Bacteria
Description: partial 16S ribosomal RNA
Rfam family: Bacterial small subunit ribosomal RNA
Source: RNAcentral
UACGUAGGUGGCAAGCGUUGUCCGGAAUUAUUGGGCGUAAAGCGCGCGCAGGCGGUCCUUUAACUCUGAUGUGAAAGCCCACGGCUCAACCGUGGAGGGUCAUUGGAAACUGGGGGACUUGAGUGCAGGAGAGAAGAGUGGAAUUCCACGUGUAGCGGUGAAAUGCGUAGAGAUGUGGAGGAACACCAGUGGCGAAGGCGACUCUUUGGCCUGUAACUGACGCUGAGGCGCGAAAGCGUGGGGAGCAAACAGG